Molecule: ribosomal RNA, 351 nt
Filed under: Triticum aestivum (bread wheat)
Lineage: Eukaryota; Viridiplantae; Streptophyta; Magnoliopsida; Poales; Poaceae
Description: partial small subunit ribosomal RNA
Source: RNAcentral
AUGAACACGCCAGAGCAUUUGUACCUAGCCCUAUUCAUGCUGGGAAGGGGUGUCCAAGUAUGUAUCUCCGAGUCAUACAUCUCAGCGGAGCUCAAUAUCCUUUCAGAAGAAUCAACGCCUCCCGUGACAUAUGCCUUUUCACCGACACUUGCUGACCCAAACCAGCGCCGCCGGAUGUUCAUCACAUCAGCCAGCCAUGUCCAUGAAUUGGUAAGGAUGCUAUAUCUCAAGGCAACCCUUCCGUCCCAAAACAACAGCAGCUCGGUCCCUACAGCAAAUGACUCCCAGUAAGAGCAUUCAGCCGGUGGCAUCUUGGGCACUUGGAUCCAGCGCCCAGUGGACGGGUCAUAA